RNAcentral lists this ribosomal RNA (460 nucleotides) under uncultured bacterium. RNAcentral's name for it is "bacterial SSU rRNA". It matches the Rfam family "Bacterial small subunit ribosomal RNA", at positions 954 to 1409 of the family's 1533-position model. The record is from RNAcentral.
GCAGAACGCGAAGAACCUUACCAGCCCUUGACAUGGCAGGACGAUUUCUUGGAGACGGAUCUCUUCACUUCGGUGACCUGCACACAGGUGCUGCAUGGCUGUCGUCAGCUCGUGUCGUGAGAUGUUGGGUUAAGUCCCGCAACGAGCGCAACCCUCGCCCUUACGUUGCCACUCAUUCAGUUGGGUCGACUCCAAGGGGACGUNCCGGUGAUAAGCCGGAGGAAGGUGGGGAGUGACGUCAAGUCUUCAUGGCCCUUACGGGCUGGGCUACACACGUGCUACAAUGGUGGUGACAGAGGGCUGCUAGGCCGCGAGGCCAUGCCAAUCCCUAAAAGCCAAUCUCAGUUCGGAUUGCACUCUGCAACUCGGGUGCAUGAAGUCGGAAUCGCUAGUAAUCGCAGAUCAGCACGCUGCGGUGAACACGUUCCCGGGUCUUGUACACACCGGAGUCGGUGGGGGA